AGGACGAUAUUGAUGAUGAAAUAUCUUACAAAGAUCAUUUAGAGGUUUAUUUUGAACAACUGACAAUUCCAGGAAUGAUGGAAUAAAACAUAUGAAGUAGAAGGACUGGAACCUCCAGAAAAAAUACUUCAAGUUACCUACAAGUGAUCUUAGUCAGGCAAAUGAAAACAGUAGCCUAAAGUGUCAGUUUCAACCAGAAAAUAACAGCUAUGAUUUCUCAUGGCUCACACUCUUCCGAAACGACUCAGGAAGAGGCUGAGGAAGGCCAUGUUGUUUGUCUACCUGGGACUACACCUACUGAAAGAAGUUCUCAAGUUCUGAUUGAGUUCUAAAAGUUUUUUGAAGAUUGGAAUUCUUCAUAUGUAAGUAAAACCAAUUUCUGAUGACGCAUUUCUAGUCCAUCUUCUAAAGAAGUAUUUAAUCUGGGCCAUGCGUGGUGGCUCAUGCCUGUAAUCUCAGCACUUUGGGAGGCCAAGGCGGGUGGAUCACAAGGUCAAGAGAUCAAGACCAUCCUGGCCAACAUGGUGAAACCCCAUCUCUACUAAAAAUACAAAAAUUAGCUGGGCAUGCUAGUGCGUGCCUGUAGUCCCAGCUACUCAGGAGGCUGAGGCAGGAGAAUCACUUGAACCCGGGAAGCAGAGGUCACAGUGAGCCGAGAUUGCGCCACUGCACUC
Molecule: long non-coding RNA, 674 nt
Filed under: Piliocolobus tephrosceles (Ugandan red Colobus)
Lineage: Eukaryota; Metazoa; Chordata; Mammalia; Primates; Cercopithecidae
Description: lncRNA (ENSPTEG00000033759.1)
Source: RNAcentral